GGGGAAUUUUGGACAAUGGGCGCAAGCCUGAUCCAGCCAUGCCGCGUGAGUGAAGAAGGCCUUCGGGUUGUAAAGCUCUUUCGCAAGGGAAGAAAACGUGUGGGCUAAUAUCCUGCGCGGAUGACGGUACCUUGACCAGAAGCACCGGCUAACUACGUGCCAGCAGCCGCGGUAAUACGUAGGGUGCGAGCGUUAAUCGGAAUUACUGGGCGUAAAGCGUGCGCAGGCGGUUGAUUAAGACAGGCGUGAAAUCCCCGGGCUUAACCUGGGAAGUGCGCGUGUGACUGGUCGGCUAGAGUACGGCAGAGGGGGGUGGAAUUCCACGUGUAGCAGUGAAAUGCGUAGAGAUGUGGAGGAACACCAAUGGCGAAGGCAGACCCCUGGGUCGAUACUGACGCUCAUGCACGAAAGCGUGGGGAGCAAACA
This 426-nucleotide ribosomal RNA is filed under the name uncultured Rhodocyclaceae bacterium. RNAcentral describes it as "bacterial SSU rRNA". It matches the Rfam family "Bacterial small subunit ribosomal RNA", at positions 356 to 774 of the family's 1533-position model. Lineage: Bacteria; Pseudomonadati; Pseudomonadota; Betaproteobacteria; Rhodocyclales; Rhodocyclaceae. The record is from RNAcentral.